RNAcentral lists this ribosomal RNA (163 nucleotides) under Talisia nervosa. RNAcentral describes it as "5.8S ribosomal RNA". It matches the Rfam family "5.8S ribosomal RNA". From Rfam's summary of the family: 5.8S ribosomal RNA (5.8S rRNA) is a component of the large subunit of the eukaryotic ribosome. The record is from RNAcentral. Lineage: Eukaryota; Viridiplantae; Streptophyta; Magnoliopsida; Sapindales; Sapindaceae.
AUAACGACUCUCGGCAACGGAUAUCUCGGCUCUCGCAUCGAUGAAGAACGUAGCGAAAUGCGAUACUUGGUGUGAAUUGCAGAAUCCCGUGAACCAUCGAGUCUUUGAACGCAAGUUGCGCCCUAAGCCUUUAAGCCGAGGGCACGUCUGCCUGGGUGUCACG